CAGCUCUCCAGCCUGUCCAGGUCUCUGAUGGCAGCACAGCUUCCAAUGUCACCACUCCUCCCAGCUUGGUGUCACCAGCAAACUUGCUGACAGUCACUCUAUUCCCUCAUCCAAGUCAUUGAUGAAUAUAUUGAAUAGUACUGGUCCCAGCACUGCCCCCUGAGACACUGCACUAGAUACAGGCCCCCAAUGUGCCCCACCGCCCGCCUUUGUGUCACUGGAAAGCCCCCUGAGCUCCCUGUGCAGCUCCUGUGCUGGGAUCACAGAAUCACAGAACAGUUUGUGUUGAAAGGACCUUCCCAGCCCCCAGUGCCCCCCUGCCAUGACAGGGACAUCGUCACCAGCUCAGGGUGCUCAGAGCCCGUCCAGCCUGGCCUGGGAUGUCUCAGGGAUGGCUCAUCCACCACCUCUCUGGGUACCUGGGCCAGGCUCUCACCACCCUCAGGGGCAGCAAUUGCUUCUUUAUACUUAGUCUAAAUCUCCUCUGGUGCUGGAGGGGACAUGGGCACCGAGAUUCCACCCCAGAUAAAUCCACAGCUUCGAAAGCUCUUGGCAGCUCGGGGAGGAGCAGCCAAACCCCGCGUCCUGGAGCCACAUCCUGAGCUGGGGCUCGGCUGGUGAACCGAGACCCGGCUGGUUUUGUCCCAGGCAGCCGGAGCCCAUCACGGGGAAGAAAAGGCUCCUUGUCUCGGGGUCGCGGCUCUAAUCCCGUUCUGCGUCUGCGGGAGAAAAGAGGACGGCGGAGCGAGGACAGCGCCGCUGCCGCUGCCAAUUCCCGGCCCUGCGCGCCGCGUCCCGCGCCAGCCCUGCCCGGCCACAAAAGGCUGCAUCCCCUCCCAGCAAACUAACCAAGCAUUUAAAUUUAAUAGCUGUCGGCAACCUCGCCGUUUCAAAGUGAUUAGGCAUUUAAUUAGAGCCCAUGUCUUGCUUUGCUGGCUGGGAGGCAAAUUCCUCCGUAGGGCCCGUGAAAUCUGCGCCGGUGACCGGCACGGCGCAUGGCAGAUGCUCUUUGCCAUCCCCAUGUCAGACGAGGUGCUGAUGGGGAGCCCGGCCCUUCAAGUGACCCCGUUUGUCCCCUCCAUCCCCAUGCACCCGCGCCUGCAAACCGCGCUCCUCCCUGCUCCGGUGCUCCGGCAAAGCCAGAGCAGGAGGAGAGCCCGCGGGCUGGGGACGUGCCAUUGCCCGGGGAAACUGAGGCACGCCGAGGGACGCCGGCCUCAGAGCAAGGUGGGGAGCGGAGGUUGUGUCUUCAUUCAGGAAAUGGGAGGAGCAUCCUUAGACCUGCUUAAAUCCGUGUGACCCAAUUCUGCCCUGAAUCCCGAUAAGUCCCUACAGCCCGUGCGGGUGAGCAGCUGUAGCCGAGCGAGCCGGGUGAGGAUGACAGGGUGACCCCCAUUCCCGCGGCUCCUCCUCGGGUGUCCCCAUGCUGCCCUUAAACCAGGGGGUGACACCCAGGAGUGAGGCCCCAGCUCUGAUCACUGAGUCCAACCAUAACCCACCCCAGCACUGCCCCACGUCCUGAGAACCUCAUGUCCAUCUGUCCAGCCCUCCAGGGAUGGUGACUCCAGCACUGCCCUGGGCAGCCUGUUCAAUGCCCCACAGCCCUUUGGGGAAGAAAUUGUUCCCAGAUCCAACCUCAACCUCCCCUGGCACGACUUGAGGCCGUUUCCUCUCAUGCUAAAUGGCUGGUGAAGGAUCGAGCAACCCCAGGUGCCACCUUGUCCUCCUGGGAGGUUCCAGGGCAGAACUGGGAUGGAUGGGCUGUGCCAGGAUGAUGGGGAUGGUUGGGAUGUACCAGAAUGGUUGGGAUGUGCUGGGAUGGUUGGGAUGUACUGGGAUGAUGGGAUGUGCCAGGAUGUGCUGGGAUGGUUGAGAUGGUUGGGGUGUGCCGGGAUGGAUGGGAUGUGCUGGGAUGGUUGGGAUGUGCUGGGAUGGUUGGGAUGGAUGGGAUAUGCCAGGGUGUGCUGGGAUGGGCGGGAUGGUUGGGAUGUGCUGGGAUGGUUGGAAUGGAUGGGAUAUGCCAGGAUGUGCUGGGAUGGUCGGGAUGUGCUAGAAUGGUUGGGAUGUACCGGAAUGGUUGGGAUGUGCUGGGAUGUGCUGGGAUGGUUGGGAUUGGGAUGUUCUGGGAUGGAUGGGAUGGAUGUGAUGUGCUGGGAUGGUUGGGAUGGUUGGGAUUGGGAUGUUCUGGGAUGGAUGGGAGGAUGGGAUGUGCUGGGAUGGUUGGGAUGGUUGAGAUGGUCGGGAUGUGUUGGGAUGGAUGUGAUAUACCGGAAUGGACGGUCUGUGCCGUACUGGCAGCAUGAUGGAUGGUUUCAACUGGGAUGAGGUUUCUGUCUGGUCACGAGACUGGUGCUACACCAGCUGCUCCUUCCCGCAAAGGAGAUUUUCUUCUCUCCCGCAGACAACGUCUGGCUGAGCCCUCAGGACCAUCAGGAAGGAUCCUGGUGAGGAGCAGAUGGCUUCCAGACCCGCCUUUCAGCUGCACAUUCACCGGCUGGAUCCCCAUCCCAGCCCGUGUCCCCCCAUCCCCACGCUGCCCCUUCCCUCCUCUUCCUCACCACGUUUCUCACCCACAACCCCAUGUCAUUCCCACUCCCCUCCAACACCCCAUAACCACAAUAGCUUUUAUUGCUGUGUCUGGUGGUUUACCCACGGUUUUACCCGUUGUGCAGCUCCGUGCUGGAAGGGGAACGGCUGGAACCAAAGCCCCAACGGUGCAGUUGGCUGCUCACUGUUCUUUGCAUGAGCCCCCAGAAUCAUUUGCCAGCUCCCGUUGCCACCGCCCAUGUUUAACUUGCAACAAGUGAGCUGAGAAUGAAUUAUUCAGCAGCUUGUGGAAAGCAUUGGGAAGGUCUAAAACACACUGAGCUGUGGGUUCAGCUCCUACCUGCCCUGGGGAGAUCGCUGGCUGCGUCCCUUACACAUGGCACGCUGAAUAUCGUAAUUGAUACUGAUUAA
Columba livia (rock pigeon) is the source of this 2958-nucleotide long non-coding RNA. RefSeq lists it as uncharacterized. Lineage: Eukaryota; Metazoa; Chordata; Aves; Columbiformes; Columbidae. The record is from RefSeq and is a predicted model, not a curated record. The transcript is spliced from 2 exons.